This is a small nucleolar RNA of Bison bison bison, 105 nucleotides long. NCBI's taxonomy places the organism in Eukaryota, Metazoa, Chordata, Mammalia, Artiodactyla, Bovidae. The record is from Ensembl.
AUGCAUCUAUUUGACAAACUGGGAGCAGUUAAUGUCUGCUGCUAAAGUUUCCACUAUGGAUGCAAGAGAAAAAGUAAUUCUUGUGAAUUAUUAUACUGUACAGCU